Molecule: ribosomal RNA, 210 nt
Filed under: uncultured bacterium
Lineage: Bacteria
Description: partial 16S ribosomal RNA
Rfam family: Bacterial small subunit ribosomal RNA
Source: RNAcentral
ACGCUCGACACCUACUGGAGGCAGCAGUGGGGAAUAUUGCACAAUGGGGGAAACCCUGAUGCAGCGACGCCGCGUGAGUGAAGAAGUAUUUCGGUAUGUAAAGCUCUAUCAGCAGGGAAGAAAAUGACGGUACCUGAGUAAGAAGCCCCGGCUAACUACGUGCCAGCACGCCGGACGGUAAUCUGGAGGCCGGGGCGUGGGACGAAGGGC